GUGUGGCCUAGUGGUUGGACGCCAAGCUGAUAUCCCGAAGGUCACACAGGUUCGAGCCCGG
RNAcentral lists this transfer RNA (61 nucleotides) under Oxyrrhis marina. The record is from RNAcentral. Lineage: Eukaryota; Dinophyceae; Oxyrrhinales; Oxyrrhinaceae.